This 301-nucleotide ribosomal RNA is filed under the name uncultured bacterium. Its description in RNAcentral is "partial 16S ribosomal RNA". It matches the Rfam family "Bacterial small subunit ribosomal RNA", at positions 509 to 807 of the family's 1533-position model. The record is from RNAcentral.
CAGCAGCCGCGGGAAUACGAAGGGUGCAAGCGUUAAUCGGAAUUACUGGGCGUAAAGCGUGCGUAGGUGGUGGUUUAAGUCCGUUGUGAAAGCCCUGGGCUCAACCUGGGAAUUGCAGUGGAUACUGGGUCACUAGAGUGUGGUAGAGGAUAGUGGAAUUUCCGGUGUAGCAGUGAAAUGCGUAGAGAUCGGAAGGAACAUCUGUGGCGAAGGCGGCCAUCUGGGACAACACUGACGCUGAGGCACGAAAGCGUGGGGAGCAAACAGGAUUAGAUACCCCGGUAGUCCCUGUCUCUUAUAC